Molecule: long non-coding RNA, 1914 nt
Filed under: Mytilus galloprovincialis (Mediterranean mussel)
Lineage: Eukaryota; Metazoa; Mollusca; Bivalvia; Mytilida; Mytilidae
Source: RNAcentral
UUGGCCCUUGAGAAACACUCAGCAUACAAACGGAAUUUUGAGUUCCUGCCUGAGCAAGUCAGCUUGCAACCUUCAGUGUAAGGAAGAACCUGCCUGCCCGACAAUGCGCCAGCCGGGGAAUGUGAAGCGAGGGUUCUCCACUUAGGUGAUGAGACUAGGCGUCUCAUCGGCAGCCAGGUAGUGCAAGGGUCUGCCUGGGGGAUAGCCCAUGUACUAGUGAAGUAGCAGGGGUCUAUCAAACUGGCACUGGAAUAAAUUUGAUAAAAUUUGUCCCCGAAAUGCUUGGGGAUGAAUGAAAUUUUAGAAAUGACCAGUGAUAAAAUUCCAUUAAGGAAAAACUGAAAUAAAGAAAAAUAUAUAUCACUAGUUUAAGCUGAGUUGUUUCUCUAGUCAUGAAACAAUAUUGAAGGUGUUAGGAAGGGGAAGGUGGGAGGUAAAUUGAAUAAUAGCACUGUAAAACUCCAUCAACUAGUCAGGCUGCUAUGAACCAAGAAACUGAUUAUACAAAGACCAUGCAAUUGGCUUUACACACAGAUUGGGUACAUCUAACAUCCAGGGGGAGGAGACUGACCUACUGACCCUCAAAUAAUAUACUAUUUAUUGUGUAAUCAGUAUUAAAGAGAUCUGGUAUCAUAUUCUGCUUUCCUCUCCUACAGUGAUUGUUUGUGACAUGUAUCUGAUUAAGAAAAGAUUAGUGUGCCUCCUAGUGAGAUUCCAAUUGUAACUUCAAAGUGUCAAAUGUUAGACUAAUUAACCUCAAGAUAUAACAAGUGGUCUGUGUAUGUUAAUUAAUUGCAUCCAUGAUGUCAGCAUCUUUAUCAUAAAAUUAAUUACUUGUAAACUGAAAUGGCUUUUCUGUUUGUAUAAACAAUACUUAUAUUACAUAUAAGUAAAUAUUGGCAUUUAUAGGUGUUCUUUUGUGUCUUGUGAAAUGAAGAUGUGCAUGUUGAAUAAAUGUUAUCAGAAAUACUGUAAGGCAUUAUUGGGAUCCAUUUACUGUGGAUUUUAUUUAUUUUUGAGGCUACCAAUACGUGCAAUUUUCCUUGAUUAGAUAGACAACCCUUGUAAAAAAUUGUAUUUUAUUGGACAUUUGAAAUCUCAAUAUACCUAUUCCUAGAAAAUUCACAAAAAUUAGUAUCCUUAGAAAAAUAAUGAAUCCAUAGUAAAUUUGUCAAUGUAGAUGUUCCUAUGCUAUCUGAUCAAAUUAUUCUUCUCGAUCUUAUAAAGAGUUCAAGACUUCUGUAUUAUGCACUUACUUCAAGUAUCAUGCACUUAUGAAGCUCUUUAUUCUCAAAGUUGUUCAGUAACUUAUUUUUGGUUUGACUGAUUUGAUAAAAUUCUUCAAAAUAAAUUUGACAAGGGUUUGAACAUAUGCAUUUAUGGUAUACAGUCUUAUGGUGUAUAUAAAAUACAGUCAUGCAUAGUAUGUACCUCUUUUUGGUCCUUAAAACUUUAGAAAAAAAGUUACUUCUUAUUCCCAUCAGCUAAAUUGACUUACAGGCAAGCAAACCAGUUGUUAUCACUAAAAUAGUCUUAAAAUUGUUUUUCAUUUAAAUAUUUUACCACAAAGUAUUUGUUAAAACUUGUAUUUCAAUUUAUUGUACAAUAGUGGCCAUAUUCACUAAAAAUAUGAUUAUGAUCCAGAUUUAAAAAAAAAUUCUUUCAAGUUUUCUUCAUCAAUUAAUUGUUGGUUGCUUGACAUCCAGUCACUCCAGUCACUCCAGUGGCAAAUAUUUCAUGCAUGUACAGGACCUUUUUUUCCUUUCCAAAGCCAGUUUUCUAUUUCUUUACAUUAAAUAUGUAAUGUGGAUCAUUAAUGUUGAAACCGUAAAGAAAAAUUGUUAUGUAGUUCUUUUGGGAUAACAGCAUUUAUAACAUAUACUAGUAAACAGUAUUUUGUACAAUAUGAUUUUG